Mus musculus (house mouse) is the source of this 1004-nucleotide long non-coding RNA. RefSeq annotates it as predicted gene, 32825. Lineage: Eukaryota; Metazoa; Chordata; Mammalia; Rodentia; Muridae. The transcript is spliced from 2 exons. The record is from RefSeq and is a predicted model, not a curated record.
UAAAAGGGCGAGGCCAGAGAGGGAGGGCAACGGGGAUAGGGGAGGAGCUUGGCGGAAGCGGGCGGAGCUCACAGCCAAACAGGGAGUGAGAGGGAGGGGCUGGUCGAGAGGUGAAGGAAUUCAGCCAGCGCAAAAGCAACUGGGAGGGUGAGGUAGAAGCUCCGCAGGACCGGAUGGAGCUCACAGUCAGAGUGACCACCAGCCAAGGUCUCAUCUACCCUCUGCUUCUAGAUCCCGGGUGCCCCUGCUGCUCUUUUUCUCUUUGAAACCAGGAGUAUUGGUAUCCUUGGAUGUGCAGAAGUGCCUGGAGUUCUGGGGGCAGGAGAAUGGCAUCCUGGAAGGUAGGUGACAGUCCCAGAGAGGGCAGCUCCGCUCUGCAUCUGGAUGUCAGCCCCCCGUGGGAUACAAGCUUGAGCUUGUCAGAGGACCCAGGUGUCAAGUAAAGUUGUGUAUAGCCACCAGCGGAGGGGCUGAGCAGAGCAUCCCAGGCCCUUCAGAGACUUACUGUGUGCCUGAGAAAUGAAUCUGAGAUGUGCCUCGGGAUUGGGGGAGGGGGUGUUUGUUUUUGAGUUUUUCUCUUUCUGAAGGUGGAAAGGUUGUACCCGGGGAUCCAAGGCUUUUGCGUUAUCGACCCCAAAUCUGUGCCAUGAAGCCCCAGAGAAUCAUCAUGUCUGGAUUCCUAGUGGAUGGUCACAUCUAGUAGCUCUGGGCUAUAAGCCAGUAGGGGCUAGUUUGGAGAGAGGACAUGCUAUGCCCAGAAGGCUCCCAAGAAGGUGGGCUAGAGAUAUGACCUGCAGACCUACAACCUGGAAAGUCUGAAUAAGGAGUCAAGGGAACUCAUGGCCACCUUUGUCACCUGCUCCCAUGUGAUUCAAUAGCUAUACAUGAGUAUGUAACGUUCCUUGUUCCUCUUCUCCUUCUCCCUGUCCCCCCUCCCCCCCACCAGGGCUUAUAUCUGAAACAUAUGCUGCUCUCCCUUAUAAUAAACUUUCAACUUUGUGUCA